RNAcentral lists this ribosomal RNA (774 nucleotides) under uncultured Neocallimastigales. RNAcentral's name for it is "partial large subunit ribosomal RNA". It matches the Rfam family "Eukaryotic large subunit ribosomal RNA", at positions 18 to 643 of the family's 3401-position model. Lineage: Eukaryota; Fungi; Neocallimastigomycota; Neocallimastigomycetes; Neocallimastigales. The record is from RNAcentral.
UCAGACGAUGCGUCAUGCAUAUCAAUAAGCGGAGGAAAAGAAACUAACAAGGAUUCCCCUAGUAACGGCGAGUGAAGCGGGAAGAGCUCAAAUUUGAAAUCUUAAAGGGUUUCCCUUUACGAAUUGUAGUUUAAAGAAGUGUUUUCUGUUGAGGUUUUGGUAAAAGUUCUUUGGAAUAGGACAUCAUAGAGGGUGAGAAUCCCGUAUUUGACCUUUACUUUCAACUUUGUGAUACACUUUCAAAGAGUCGGAUUGUUUGGGAAUGCAGUCCAAAAUGGGUGGUAAAUUUCAUCUAAAGCUAAAUAUUGGCGAGAGACCGAUAGCGAACAAGUACCGUGAGGGAAAGAUGAAAAGAACUUUGAAAAGAGAGUUAAACAGUACGUGAAAUUGUCAAAAGGGAAGCGUUUGACACCAGUGUUGUUUUUCUGAAAAUCAAUUAAAGAACUGUUUAUGCUAAGCUGUUUAGACUUUAUCAGCUAUCUGUUUAGUUUUGAGCUUUUCUUUAAUGCACUUUUCAGUUAACAAGUCAACAUCAAUUUCUUUUGCUGUAAAAAAGCUUGAGGAAGGUGGCUUGAGAUUCGUCUUAAGUGUUUAUAGCCUCUUGCCUAUGCAGUCGGAGAGAUUGAGGUCUGCAGCGUAGAUCCUUCGGGGCUAAAUGCAUUUGUGCUAAGUUAUAGCAUUCUAUAGACAACUUGUUGACUAUGAUUUGUCUUGUAGCUUACUCGCUUAUGUUAUUUUACCUACGCUUAGGAUGUUGACACACGCGCGUGCUCG